GAUGAACGCUGGCGGCGUGCUUAACACAUGCAAGUCGAACGAAGCACUUUAUUUGAUUUCCUUCGGGACUGAUUAUUUUGUGACUGAGUGGCGGACGGGUGAGUAACGCGUGGGUAACCUGCCUUGUACAGGGGGAUAACAGUUGGAAACGGCUGCUAAUACCGCAUAAGCGCACGGCAUCGCAUGAUGCAGUGUGAAAAACUCCGGUGGUAUAAGAUGGACCCGCGUUGGAUUAGCUAGUUGGUGAGGUAACGGCCCACCAAGGCGACGAUCCAUAGCCGACAUGAGAGGGUGACCGGCCACCUUGGGACUGAGACACGGCCCAAACUCCUACGGGAGGCAGCAGUGGGGAAUAUUGCACAAUGGGCGAAAGCCUGAUGCAGCGACGCCGCGUGAGCGAAGAAGUAUUUCGGUAUGUAAAGCUCUAUCAGCAGGGAAGAUAAUGACGGUACCUGACUAAGAAGCACCGGCUAAAUACGUG
RNAcentral lists this ribosomal RNA (481 nucleotides) under uncultured bacterium. RNAcentral's name for it is "partial 16S ribosomal RNA". It matches the Rfam family "Bacterial small subunit ribosomal RNA", at positions 28 to 507 of the family's 1533-position model. The record is from RNAcentral.